Molecule: long non-coding RNA, 3109 nt
Filed under: Salvia miltiorrhiza (redroot sage)
Lineage: Eukaryota; Viridiplantae; Streptophyta; Magnoliopsida; Lamiales; Lamiaceae
Description: long non-coding RNA (SMIL_LNC005874)
Source: RNAcentral
UAAUUCCACAACAUAAACCUGACAGCAAAUAACUAUCUUAUCUUCAGCAAGAAGUAUUGCAAACUAUAGUAUAACGCAUCCAAAUAUAGAAACUAACCAUAAAACCAGGGGCGGAUCUAGAAUUUGUUGAUAGGGGGGGCUGAACUUCUUGAAGGUGUACAGGGGUUCGGGGGCGGUAGCCCCCGAGCUAAAAUUUUUUGGACAGUCUGUACAAUUUUUUUUGUGUCUAAAUAGAAUUUUAAUGGUCUUAGAAUUAAAAGUCAAUCACUUAAUAUAAUAUAUAGUUGUACUCUUUUUAUUGAUUCAAUAAUAGGUUUGAAGCACAUAAAGAGCUACAUCUAUACAUUUUUUAAAAAUUAUUCUAGUUUUAAUAAAAUAAAUUAAUCUUUAUUAUUAUGUUAAAAAAAAUUAUCUUUUUUUUAGACUAGACUGGGCUAUGAAUUAAACUAUGUACAUAUUAAACUAAAUAUAUUACAUAUAUAUAGAAAGAAAGAUUGGGGUUGCACUGGGCUGGAGCCCACUGCAACCCCCAAGUAAAUCCGCCCAUGCAUAAAACUAUAUAAAUUAAGCUUUAUGAUACAGUUCGCUUACCUGUUUCUAUUACCUGAUUCAGUACCUUCUUUAGGUAUUAGUCAAGUAUUGUAAUAGUUACAUCAUUAUGUAGUGAGACAAAACAAUCUUAUAUGAAGCGAAAUUUAUGGCUGCCAACCCUCACUAGCAAAAGUUAUGGUUGUACAACCCUCAUUUCCAAUCCCAAACACAAGAUUCUCUAAUUCACAACAUAUUAAUCAACUAUAUAAGAGCUAAAACAACCUAUUAACAAAAGAAAAGCACAAUAACCAUAUGUAAUAGCUAGUGUUUAUCACUACGGAUAGAUAUAAACUUACAAGCAGGCUUUGGCUUUUGAAUACGGUAAACCAAAUAUGCACUAUUAAUUGAAAAUUAUAAUGAAUUUGAUUAUAUUGUUAGAAUUUAAAAACUAGUUUCAAGAGAAAAGAUAGUCUAACUCUUACCUCUUUUGCGCCUUUAGAUUGACGACGAAGUUGAUAGCUGCAAUAAAUAAUAAAAUUGACAGAUUUGAAUUGAAAAUAUCAUAUUUUCAAUCAAAAUGGUAGGACUAAGAAGGGUAAAAGUUUGUCAAAGCCUUACCUCACCAGAGACUACGAAUUUACGCUGAAAUUAAUCACUGAAAGGAAGAAGAUGAACAAUUAAAAAAAUCUAACAAAUUGAAUUGAGAAUAUAAGAUUUUCUAUCAAAAUCGUGGGAAUAGAGAAGAGUAAAAUCCUGUCAAAGUCUUACCUCACCAAUACUAAAUAGUUUUAAUAAGUAAACAAGUGGCAUCUAAAAACUAAAUAGCAUUAUGUGAGAAAGUGAAUAUCCAAUCGAACCAAUCCCCUGCAUAUGUAAGAAGAAAACAGGACAUGUCGGUUUCCUCACCGGAAAGCAAAGAAAACAAACCUGUAAAUUACAUAAGCUAGCAUCUGAAAUGCAGUAGGUGCCUUCUCAUAACUCCUUGCUUUCACCAAAAAAUAAGAGCUAAAUCACACUCUACACCUCUUGCUAUAACCUGAAAUUAGUACCGAGGAUAGCGUAAUUGAUGUAGUCAAUGAUUCAACAUGAAUUUCUCUAUUCCCUCACCGAGAGCCAAAAGGCAAAAUAAAUUAUACAAGAGACACAUAAAAUGGCAUCAAUAUAUAGAAAAUCAAGGACUUUAAACAACUCUUGCAACACAUUGGCAAUUAUUAGUAAAUUAAAAUGUUGUUGGGAAGAGAUCAUGCUACCCCAACAAAGGCAUCUGAAUACCAAAUUACAUGUUUAGAAAUCCGUAAAAACCAGCAUUAUCACAUGAGAAAUUCAAUAUGCAAAAGUUGGAAGAGAAAAAAGAAUUUGAAUAGUUACAGUUGCAGGUAUAAAAUCUCCAAGACAUAGAAAAUAUCAUUAUUCUAUUGCUCAAAUAACAAAAACCAUCUGCAAUAAAGUCCUUUAUCUGCAUCCUCCAUUUAACAGUUCAGGCUGAAAUAAAAUAAAAAUAGUGACAGGAGAAAAAACUUCAUAAAUUCAGUAAAUAUAAUAUAUCAUUCCACAGCGUCUAUAACUCACCUCAUGAAUCAAGACAUGCUUUACUACAACGCAAGAUCAAUAUAGCACGAAUUGUAAACCUACUAGAUGACAAACCAAAUAAAUAAACAGAUAGUUCCAAAGCAAUAAUACUAAGUAUAUAUUCAUCAUUACGUUGAAAACUCAAUUUGCAUAAGCAUAACCAUCAAACUAGCUUUGAAGUAUACAAAAUUGCUAAGGGCUGCAAAGUAUUACGACAGUGGAAUUUGCAUAGAAGCAUACCUUAUAAGAGUUAAAUAAUUGCCCACAAACGACAUCAACUUUCUAAACAAAACAAACUUCAUGAGGACUCCAAUACCAUACUUCAACUUUCUAAAUAAUAUCAACAUCAAAUUUCUCAAUAGUAAAAAUGACUAUACUAGAGCACACAUAAAACAUUAACGGUUCAAUUAUGCCAAAAUCUUAGUCCUCUUAUAAUAAAAAAAGUUAUCACUAGAGACCAACACAACAAAUUUUCUUAGAGACUAGGUAGUUAAAGGGAGAAUAAUUCACCAAAAACCAAUUAGAAUUCAAUAUAUAUGGCGAACCAAAAAUCACAAAAAAUUCUACCUACUGAAGGUGUCGACCAACUGUAGUUGCUGCUCCCUUUCGCUGCCAAAACUGGUAACGCUAAUACCUCCAUUGGUUGUCACCUACGUCCUCCGCUCGUCGUUUUGUCAGACCAGCACCGUGCCCACCUGAAGUGCCGACCGCUAAACCAUAUGACGCUUGAACUAUAUAUAUAUAUAUAUCCACUCCGCAAUCUGCCAUCUUGCCUUCCUCAAAGGGCAAACCCUUCCCCCUUUCACCAAUUCCUUAAUUGAAUUAUGUAAUGGAAUGAAACUAAAGAUUUUAAUUGUGAUGUAAAUAGCAAUUUCAAUCCACCAAAGGAGACCUAUUUCCCCUACUUAGGGGAGACGCACGAGCAGGAGACGAAGGUUUGGUGCUGAAGGAAUUCGAAUUGAUAAAUUUGGGAAUGUUUAAUUUUCGUUGUUGGGUUGGUGAAAAAAAA